Molecule: ribosomal RNA, 279 nt
Filed under: uncultured bacterium
Lineage: Bacteria
Description: partial 16S ribosomal RNA
Rfam family: Bacterial small subunit ribosomal RNA
Source: RNAcentral
UGCCAGCCGCCGCGGUAAUACGAAGGGACCUAGCGUAGUUCGGAAAUUACUGGGCUUAAAGAGUUCGUAGGUGGUUGAAAAAGUUGGUGGUGAAAUCCCAGAGCUUAACUCUGGAACUGCCAUCAAAACUUUUCAGCUAGAGUUUGAUAGAGGAAAGCAGAAUUUCUAGUGUAGAGGUGAAAUUCGUAGAUAUUAGAAAGAAUACCAAUUGCGAAGGCAGCUUUCUGGAUCAUUACUGACACUAAGGACCGAAACAAUGGGAAGCAAGAGGAUUAGAUA